AUGAGUCUUCUGGUUGUCAGCAGGUCUGGAGGAGGUGCUGUGGGUGGCCCUGUCUGGUCCUGGGGUCAGCGCCGAUGGCCACUUGGUCUGAAUUCCUGUGGCUCCUCAGAGCCAAGGAAGCAACAGCAAAGAUGCAGAGAAGCUGAAGCAAAGGCCCUGAGGAGGCAAAAGGGCGAGGCACGCCACCCUCCCGGGCUGCUCCUGUGGGCUGGGGACACUGUAGGCAGGGGCUGCUGUGUCCCCAGUGGGAAAGGACAGGGAAGCGGCUGCAGCCACACUGGGAGCUCCAGGCCUGUGGCACCGAGGAGCGGCCACACAGGGUGGUGGAGCCUUCCUGCUGGGUCAGCUUCUUCUGCACAUAUGGAGCCUGCAGGGGUGCAGGACAGGAGGAGGGGUUAGAGGCCCAGUGCGCCAAGGAUACCCCACAGGAGGGCAGAAGGAGGGAGGCUGCUGUGUGCCUGGGGCCUCCGGAGCCCUGGGCCAAGACCAG
This 490-nucleotide long non-coding RNA is filed under the name Cavia porcellus (domestic guinea pig). RNAcentral's name for it is "lncRNA (ENSCPOG00000035745.1)". The record is from RNAcentral. Lineage: Eukaryota; Metazoa; Chordata; Mammalia; Rodentia; Caviidae.